AACAUGACAGGAAAGUCUAAAUAUUAAUUGUAAAAACAAAAAAAGAUAACAUUUUUGUGGGGGGGAAAAAAACAUGUGCGCCAUGAUCUGAUGUGCUGCUUGUAUCCCAUAUCAUGAUCACUUCCUCUUUCGGAUGCUGAUGCUUCUCUUAUUGUUGCCCCUAGUAUUCCUUAUUUUUAUUCUCGUGUACCUCAAUGUACUUGGCUGAACAACCUCUCCACAGCCGUCUCGACCUGCGCAGACAAUUCCUAAUUAUACAACUCCAGUAAUUGCUUUAAAAUCACGACUUCCCUUCUUUAUCAUAUCUCUACCACAAAUCGAGUAAACUAUUGAAUUACAGUUCAGCAGAAUCAAAUCGUGCAGCAUCAGUGGCAGAUCUAAGUGGUGGCGAGCUGGGAAGGCCGCCCUAGCUAGAUUCACCUAAACAACCGUACGUGCUGCUCUAUCGAAAUUUUAAAUAGUUGUCAGGCGACAGUCUUGCAGUUGCAGGGAUGGAAAUUGUGGAAGAAAGAAGACGACUGAAUUGGACAGGAAACCCUUCUCCAAUUCUCCUUCUUCCCCACGAUUUGUGAAGUGCGAAUUCAGAAGUCAAUACUGUAGCUUGCCGACAAGUCGUUGCUGACCUCUCCAACCUCCAGUCUUAGACUCUUACACUAAUUAUGAGUGCCUCUCUCUCUCCCCCCCUCCUUUUUUAUUUUUGUUCACUUAAUUUAUUCUUGAUUUAUUAUUUAUGAGUUAUGAUUUAUUUUUUAUGAGUUAUGAAAAAUAACAAUAGGAAUAAAAGUAAAAUUGCAGUAUGUGAUAUUUAGGGAUUUUGAAUUUGGAUAGAAUCACUUCUUUAGAUAGCACGAAUUCUGUGUGAAUUGAAUGAAGACAACAUUGUAGAGGGUUGAGAGAAUUUAGGGAUUGGAAUUGGCACUAAUUUGGUAGAAUAAGCAACAUGUGGAUUGCUUGAUGAUUUUAACUCAAUAGAUCGAAGAUAAUUGAUUAAGAUGGAGAAAUUCCCGUCAGUUAAUUGAAUUAGUAUAAGGAGUUGAGGGAUUUGAAUAUUUUUACUUAUACUACUAAAUUAAGGAGUUGGAAUCAAAUUGUAUCAUGUAUUUUUUGUGUACUAUUAUUUCAGAUUGUAUUGAAUUGUAUUUUCAUGUAGAUUUUUAAGUUUCAGUACAUUUACUUAUAGAUUGAAGAAUUUUUACUAUUAUUUAAUUGAAUAUUAUUAAUAAACAUCCUCGUUAUUAUGGACGUUGAUUGUCGAUGGUCAACGUUCGCCCUAGCUGAGUUCCAAUCCUGGAUUUGCCACUGUGCUGCAUCACCGAGUUAGACAAACUGUCCUUACUUAUCCAAGCUUUCAACCACCUACCCAUCAUUCCAAGUUCGAACCCGAAGUCAAACUCAACGGUUUCUUGUCCUUAGUUUCCGAUCCCCGAUCCAAUGCCAAUUCUAGUGCCGAUGGACAACUCGAAAAUUCUUUGAUCGGAACCCGAUCAUGAGAGGCGGACAUGUUGCAGCUACCAUAGGCAUCCCAAUUGCACUCCUAGCACAACACCAAGUUGUCGAUGACACACCUUACAAAAACGGCUCCAAACUACAGUUGUCACAGACCUGCAAGUGGAGAUGCUUCUUGGAGCGGGCAUUAGCUGUGUGCAAGAGCUAGUCACAUGACAAACACAACUUAGUGGAAUCGGCUUGACAAUGGAGCAUUACCUUGUUAAUCCCAUAAUUACACGCCACAAUUUCAUCUAUCAACAAUUGUGGCUAUCACGACAAGGGUUCACAAAUGAACAGUACAUGCAUCUUUCUCUCUUUUAAUAUAGUAGUGAUAGCGAUAGUUUUACACCACAUUUCUCAUUAUAUAUUUAAUUAUCCUUGACCUUUGUUCAUUGUUACAUAUAUAUUCAUAAAUUUUUUCUAUCA
Long non-coding RNA from Olea europaea var. sylvestris, 1914 nucleotides. RefSeq lists it as uncharacterized. The transcript is spliced from 2 exons. NCBI's taxonomy places the organism in Eukaryota, Viridiplantae, Streptophyta, Magnoliopsida, Lamiales, Oleaceae. The record is from RefSeq and is a predicted model, not a curated record.